UACGUAGGCAGCAAGCGUUGUUCGGAGUUACUGGGCGUAAAGGGUGCGUAGGCGGUUUGGUAAGUCUGAUGUGAAAUCUAUGGGCUCAACUCAUAGUCUGCAUCGGAAACUGCCGGGCUUGAGUAUGGGAGAGGUGAGUGGAAUUCCUGGUGUAGCGGUGAAAUGCGUAGAUAUCAGGAGGAACACCUGUGGCGAAAAGCGGCUCACUGGACCAUAACUGACGCUGAUGCACGAAAGCUAGGGGAGCAAACAGG
This 254-nucleotide ribosomal RNA is filed under the name uncultured bacterium. RNAcentral's name for it is "partial 16S ribosomal RNA". It matches the Rfam family "Bacterial small subunit ribosomal RNA", at positions 524 to 776 of the family's 1533-position model. The record is from RNAcentral.